Molecule: ribosomal RNA, 751 nt
Rfam family: Bacterial small subunit ribosomal RNA
GAUAACCCUCGGAAACGGGGGCUAAUACCGAAUACGACCUUCUGCCGCAUGGUGGGGGGUGGAAAGUUUUUCGGCCUGGGAUGGGCUCGCGGCCUAUCAGCUUGUUGGUGGGGUGAUGGCCUACCAAGGCGACGACGGGUAGCCGGCCUGAGAGGGCGACCGGCCACACUGGGACUGAGACACGGCCCAGACUCCUACGGGAGGCAGCAGUGGGGAAUAUUGCACAAUGGGCGGAAGCCUGAUGCAGCGACGCCGCGUGAGGGAUGACGGCCUUCGGGUUGUAAACCUCUUUCAGCAGGGACGAAGCGCAAGUGACGGUACCUGCAGAAGAAGCGCCGGCCAACUACGUGCCAGCAGCCGCGGUAAGACGUAGGGCGCGAGCGUUGUCCGGAUUUAUUGGGCGUAAAGAGCUCGUAGGCGGCUUGUCGCGUCGACCGUGAAAACUUGGGGCUCAACCCCAAGCCUGCGGUCGAUACGGGCAGGCUAGAGUUCGGUAGGGGAGACUGGAAUUCCUGGUGUAGCGGUGAAAUGCGCAGAUAUCAGGAGGAACACCGGUGGCGAAGGCGGGUCUCUGGGCCGAUACUGACGCUGAGGAGCGAAAGCGUGGGGAGCGAACAGGAUUAGAUACCCUGGUAGUCCACGCUGUAAACGUUGGGCGCUAGGUGUGGGGGGCCUCUCCGGUUCUCUGUGCCGCAGCUAACGCAUUAAGCGCCCCGCCUGGGGAGUACGGCCGCAAGGCUAAGACUCAAAG